Molecule: long non-coding RNA, 939 nt
Organism: Myotis myotis
Lineage: Eukaryota; Metazoa; Chordata; Mammalia; Chiroptera; Vespertilionidae
Exons: 3
Source: RefSeq, a predicted model, not a curated record
CAGCAUGGAUGCGAAGUUACCGUAAAGGGGCAGAAAGGCAGAAAGACAAGAUGCAGAGAGAAAAAAAGAGUUGGCAAUAGAAACCUCAGCACGCUCCCUCCAGCUCCAUCCAGGAGAUCACGGGAUCGGGGCAUCCCUGUCCCGGUGGGAAGGCGCUGGCCAGUGAGGAGGUGGAUGGAGCGUUGAGACACAGAACUCUGCAAGCUGAGAACCUGUCGGCAACAGAGUUCUUCUAUAGCUGGAUGCAUCAGGCCACGUUACCCUCACAACCUGAAGAUCGGAUUUCCUGCCCUUGCUUUCCCCCACAGGUUCAGUGUCCACCAGCAGCCUUUGGGACGUGUCUGCCUUCUAUGGGGCACCAUGUUGGAGCGGGUCAGUGCCAGACUCUGCUCACGCCAGGCCGUUGGAGGGAGCCUUUUAGGCAGGGGAGCUUCCUGGAACCUAUGAAUGAUCCCCCAAAGACAACUCAACUGACUCAGAGAGUUAACUCCGAUGGUGUCGAUGAUGUAGCUAAUAACCCUUAUGCAUGCACUGGCUGAACUUCAGAGCUGUAUUCAACACAACCUUUUGAGUCCUUCUGGAAGCUGGCCCCUGUCUGGGCUACCGCUCUGAGAGCAACAGAAGAGUGAAAUUUCACUUGGAAGUGACACGGACUGCUUUUUCCAGAAGAAACCAACUGCACGACGCUUAACGAAGAAAUAGCUGCCACUCCUGGCUCCUGAUCCCUUUACUUUGAAUAUGAAUCAGGCAAUGUCUGAAGAGGAGAAAAAAUCAGAUCAGAGGAUUUUAGACUUUUUUCAGACCGACUCUCAUGAAUACCCGGACUCUCCGAAUUUUGGUGAAUUUCCUGGUUCAGCUCAGAGCUACUGAAUCAGCAGAUAUUCUCAGAGUCAGACCCUAGUGGAUGUUAAUAUGUGAAAUAAAGUCUGGUGCCAGGUA